UUUUUGCUUGAAAUUAAAUUCCAGUUUCAUGACCAUUUCUUCGAAUAAAAUAUUCCUUCUCUUAUCAAUAUACAUACAUAUGUACUAUAAUAUCAAAUAUGUAUCACACGGCUUGGGCAAAUAUUGUUAUUAACGAUAAGCUUACCAUGCUGUAUACUGAAAAUCGCUAUCUUUUGAAUAAUUACGAGCAAUAUACAUUAUCAGAGACACUUGUCGUACCUAUACAGCUAGAUAUUAUGUGUCUGUAACGCGAAUGUAGAACGUGAGAUAUUCAGAUAUGCGAUUAAAAAGUUCUGUCACACCUACAAUUAGUUGUUACACUUUUGUGAGUGAAAACGAAACGGAACGUGGGUGGGAACCAUGGGUCGGUGAUCACGCGAUUUUACCUUGGUUCUAUUCUCAGAGAGUUUAGAAUUAAUUUAACGAAUGGUUCUUACAUUAUAACUGUAAAAAAUGCUUAUACACGAGUUACAAAUAUAUCUGUGAUUAUACAAUCGCGAAUAGAAGCGCGAAUUAUGCAAAUAGUUAUAGAUCCGUUGAUAUUUCUCGGUGUUUAUAUUUACUACUCGUUAAUUUUUCAUUGAUUUAUUAUUGUAAAUAUGUUAUUAUACAGGGCCGUUAUCCGGUACAUUUAUUGAGAAAUUUCAACGAAUUCUACUUUAGAAUUCUACUUUAUUUGAUUUUUUAUAUUGCAAGGCAUUUACGACGCGAGAUAAAUUUGCAGAUUUGCGACAAAAUAAGUUGAAAAUAAAAAGGCAACCCAAAGAAUACAAUGCGUUUACGUACACUGUUCUCUUUAUCUAUUUAAAUUUUCAAUAUCGUAAAAGCGCUGCGCGAGAGUAAUAAAUAUGGGAAUUUUGAAAGAUGUUAAAGUUAACAUGAUUAAAGUAACACUUAAUCAAAAUAAUAUUUAUUCAGAAUGGUGACGUGUUCGAAUGUAAUUACGUGGAAUUUGUAGCAAAUAAAGUAAUUAAGAGGAAGAAAAGACAGUGUUGGUGGUAACGUGCUGUAGUGAAUUCUACGCGAUCCGUCAUUCUAAUUUGCCUUAAUUUCAAUGUAAGAUAUGAAAACAUAUUGGACUUCCUUCUCAUUAGCAUAUGAAAGCAGCCUUUUGUAUGGUACUACGGUUCCGAUAAAUGACUCAGUGUUCACUUACCUCUUUAGGAAAACACGAAAAAAAAAAAAAAAGAUAAAAGGAGAAGAAUGUUUCUACUUAUUCGAAAAGAAAAAAAAUGGUCAAUUCUCUUUUCUGCUCUCUAUUUCUGACACGUUUUAACGUAUCCCCAGACUACCAAUAUAUAUUUUCAAGGUUCUUCGCUAAGAGGAUCAAUAUGUAUCGUCAAUAUCUAUUGACAAACUGAAUUUUCAUCGAGAUACAACGAUUAUUGAUUGAAUGACAAAUUUAUCGAUUGUCUGAGAGCACUUUUAUAAAUCAAAACUACUAACUAACAGUUGCAGUGAUUCCAAGAGAAGUUGUCGAACGAACGUGAACGAUAUUGUACGUAACAGCGAGUAGCGGAGAUAUAAAUCAUGGUAGCCAAAGUGGGAAAUAUUUCAAGGAAAAUUAAUUCGAAUGUUUGAUAGGAAUAACUAAAGGAUUUCCUGGUUGGGAAAGGAACCGUGAAACUCUUCGAUCGACUAGAGAAACUUCGGUCUCAAGGAUAAAGUUGCGAAGCAUAUUAACGUUAGACAGCUGCAUGAGUCAUUUCGUAGGAUUGCUCUGCAGAUUCCAAGUAAAAUGCAUUCGUUUUAUCUAGGAUGGAAAGUAAUGGAGGAAAUUUAAAAGAAAGUUUAAUUUCUCGUAUACUGACAAUUUUCUACGGUUUCAAUCUAAUCGUAGAAACUUUCGUCCGCGGAAUCUUCACAACUACUAUCUUUAUUUGUAAAAAUAAGUUUCUUAAUCUUAUCCAGUUGCAUUGUUCCGCGAAUUUGCAACAUUCCGCUAAUUUUGAUAGAUUUUCACAAUAAUUAUCUUUCCCGUUAUCUUAGUAGGCGUUGUUCUUGCGAUUACAUUUCAAGCAAUAAUCUAAUAUAUAAUUCAAUUUGAAAGAUGUUCCGGUAAACCGAAAAAGGUUUAUCAUAAUUAACGUCGAAAGGUAGGUAGAAUCAAUUUUUUCCCGUAGAAAUUCGCCGACCUACUCGGGCAGAAAGUUAUUCCAAGAAAAAGAUGCUUCUGAACAAUGCGAGUAAAAUGGUUCCGGUGGAAAUGGUUGGAAAAUCGUGCGCUGCGACGAACGUUUCGCGGAAAGAUGGAAAGUAAUUUGGUAAAUCGAAGGUGGCGUGUCUAAAAGUCGAUUUUUCGAUCGGAAGUUGCGCGAGUGAGGGAGACGAGAAAAUUUCUCGAUGGUUCUUCGUGGUUUGCUGGCACCAGCGGCGGCGCGAUGGACACGAAAUAAAACAACGAAAAGGGGUCAAGAGAAGCAGGCAGCCGGACAAUUAGGAUUAUCACGUUAUGGACCGCAGGUGAUGAGUGUGUUGUGUUUAUGCACCACGAUACAACAGACGGGUCAGAACAACAAUCAGGCUAGCAAGAUACUUCCGAGCACACCGCCGAUCUCAUCUGAGGAAGAGAGGAUAAACUCGUCGCAGGAAAUACCCACCGACGAACUGGCUCUAUUAGCUAAGCUGGAGGAAGCCAAUAGGCUUAUCGAAUCGGAUGCAAAGUCGUUGAACUCGCUCCAAAGCAAUCACAGUAGAAAAGGUUCCGACACAUCUCAGGUGUCCGUGGCGUCGGGGGGCAGCGGAGGAAACAGCGAUGCCGCACCCCGACGCCACAAUUCAGCUGAUGGUGAAGAGAAUACGUGGACCCUAUGGGGUCACAUCGUCGCUGAUUGGGAUUAUCAUUGGAAGAAGAGGAAAGAGUUCGUCAAAGAAUUAGUACGUCAAGGAAUACCUCAUCAUUUUAGAGGUAUUGUUUGGCAACUAUUAAGUGGUGCUCAUGACUCUCCUGUGAAAAAGCAAUUUGCUGAGUAUAUCAAGGCUACGUCAGCAUGCGAAAGGAUAAUCAGGAGGGAUAUAGCCAGAACGUAUCCUGAGCAUGAUUUCUUUAAGGAGAAAGACGGACUUGGUCAGGAGAGUCUAUUUAACGUUAUGAAAGCGUAUAGUCUUCAUGAUCGUGAAGUGGGAUACUGUCAAGGUUCGGGAUUUAUUGUAGGAUUACUCCUUAUGCAGCAAAUGCCAGAAGAAGAAGCUUUCGCUGUACUGGUAGCGCUUAUGCAAGAGUAUCGUUUGCGAGACAUGUUCAAGCCGAGUAUGGCUGAAUUAGGGGUGUGCAUGUAUCAGCUAGAACAUUUAGUUGCUGACACUCAUCCCGAGUUACACGCUCAUUUUACGGCUCAAGGUUUUCACACGUCAAUGUACGCGUCGUCUUGGUUUCUUACGCUUUUUACUACAGCGCUCAGCCUACCGCUGGCCUGCCGCAUUUUUGACGUGUUUCUGUCCGAAGGCAUGGAAAUUAUUUUCAAAGUUGCACUGGCCAUGUUGCAUUUAGGCAAGGAAGAUUUGUUAAGCUUGGACAUGGAAGGCAUGUUGAAGUUCUUUCAGAAACAGCUACCUGGAAGAGGCGAAAAAGAUCCAGAUGGUCUCAUGAAUCUUGCCUAUGGUAUGAAAAUAAAUCCGAAAAGAAUGAAAAAACUCGAGAAAGAUUAUACUGUGCUGAAAAUGAAAGAGCAAGAGGAGAUGGUUGAACUUCGUAGGCUUAGAGCCGAAAAUAGGUUACUUAGGCAAAGAACUGAACUUCUGGAAGCUGAGUCCGCGGAGUUGGCAGAUAGAUUAGUCAGAGGACAAGUUUCUCGAGCAGAAGAGGAGGAAACUGCUUUCGUUGUACAAAGAGAAUUAGCAGCUCUUCGACACACGCAUCUUGAAACCAGUCAUCAGCUUGAGCAAGCUCACGAAGAACUAAGAUCAUUGUCGCUUCUGCUAGAAGAAAAUGUGACAUCGAAACAAUCCUCUUUGGAUGAAAUUUUGUCAAAGCAGGAAGCAUUGUCACAAAAAGAGGAAAUGAUACAGUGUUUGCAAGAGGAAUUGGUAAGAGUUCGACUACACGAAGCAGAGAACGACGCAACGAUAAGGGAACUUAGAGCAAGAAUACAAGAAUUGGAACAGGAUAAAAAGACGUUGCGUGAAUCAACGCCGGAUAAUUCUGUUGCUCAUUUACAAGAAGAACUGAUUGCUGUGAAACUAAGAGAAGCAGAAGCUAAUCUUUCUUUAAAGGAUCUUCGGCAAAGAGUAGUGGAAUUGAGCAGUGCCUGGCAAAGGCAUCUGCAAGAACAUCGUUCAGCUCAAAAUCAACCUGCAAGCGAUUCCACGCCGAAGAAACUUUUGUUUUGGGAGAACCGAGGACAUGAAGUGCAAAAGUUCGAAGAGGAUUUAAUGACAACCAGAAUUCGAGAGAUGGAAGCUUUGACAGAAGUGAAGGAGCUUAGACUUAAGGUCAUGGAGCUUGAGACUCAAGUGCAAGUUGCCACGAAUCAACUUCGUCGACAAGACGAAGGAGGGAAAUUAAUUAAAGAGGAAUUAGAGGCUGCCUUAGCUAGGGAGAAGGAACUUACUGCCAAACUACGGGAGCAACAACAUAAAUAUUCCGAUUUGGAGUCUAAGAUGAAGGAUGAAGCUAUGAUGGCUAGGAUACGCGAUGCAGAGCAUGCGCAGCAAGUGGCAGAACUCACCCAGAAAAUAUCUCUUCUUGAAUUAAAAAACGAAGAGAUGCACGCGGAAGGUGAGCUUAGAAAUAAUUUAGAUGACAGUGAGAGAGUCAGAGAAUUGCAAGAUAAAGUUGCAGAAUUAAAAGCUGAGGUCAUGAGGCUAGAAAGUUGGAAGCAACGUUGGACAGGCAAUGGUGGGCAAAAUGUAAGAAGUUUCAGUGUUGACACUGAAAGCGAGCUGGACGAGCGGGAUCUCAGAAUUUGUUUACAGGAUCAUAUCAAUGCAACUACACAGAACUCACCAGAGAUUAUUGAAAGUGAAAGUGAAACCGAACGAGAUAAUCGGGAGUACAGUUGUAAAACUUAAAUAGCCCGGAUAGCUCGUUCCUUAUAGCGAGGACGUGAUAAUUACUUCCAACCUUAAUCGAACCCUUAACGAUCCAUUCUCAUUCCUGCAAUGAUUGUACGUGUUUUCAGACGUGUUUUAAGAAUUCAAGUAAAUAGCCUAAACGUAUUUACUUUUAAGAUAAAGGGAGCAGCUGAUCGAUAAAGAGAGAAACU
Molecule: RNA transcript, 5204 nt
Organism: Bombus pyrosoma
Lineage: Eukaryota; Metazoa; Arthropoda; Insecta; Hymenoptera; Apidae
Gene: Evi5
Gene name: ecotropic viral integration site 5 ortholog
Exons: 12
Source: RefSeq, a predicted model, not a curated record